This 204-nucleotide long non-coding RNA is filed under the name Mytilus galloprovincialis (Mediterranean mussel). Lineage: Eukaryota; Metazoa; Mollusca; Bivalvia; Mytilida; Mytilidae. The record is from RNAcentral.
GGUGAUCGGUGAAACCUCAAUCCUUAUAUCUGGUUAAGUCGAACAGAUAAAGGACAGCAAACCUGCUUUAAUGUAAUGUAUUAUAUUUGUAAAAAUAAAUAACUAUAUUGAUGUGUUUCGUUCAAAAAGGAAGGCAAAAAGAAAAGACAGGAAAAACUUCUAAUUAUUUUUUUACAUCUGAAACUUAAUUGAAAUGUAAUCUUG